UACGUAGGGGGCUAGCGUUGUCCGGAAUUACUGGGUGUAAAGCGCGUGUAGGCGGGAGGCCAAGUCUGCGGUGAAAUCGCUCGGCUCAACUGGGCGGGGUCCGUGGAAACUGGUCACCUGGAGGACGGUAGAGGCGAGUGGAAUUCCCGGUGUAGUGGUGAAAUGCGUAGAGAUCGGGAGGAACACCAGUGGCGAAGGCGGCUCGCUGGGCCGGACCUGACGCUGAGACGCGAAGGCGUGGGGAGCGAACGGG
Molecule: ribosomal RNA, 253 nt
Filed under: uncultured bacterium
Lineage: Bacteria
Description: partial 16S ribosomal RNA
Rfam family: Bacterial small subunit ribosomal RNA
Source: RNAcentral